This 735-nucleotide ribosomal RNA is filed under the name uncultured bacterium. RNAcentral describes it as "bacterial SSU rRNA". It matches the Rfam family "Bacterial small subunit ribosomal RNA", at positions 60 to 795 of the family's 1533-position model. The record is from RNAcentral.
AGUCGAGCGAAGCGAUCGGGAUGAAGUUUUCGGAUGGAUUCCUGAUUGACUGAGCGGCGGACGGGUGAGUAACGCGUGGGUAACCUGCCUCAUACAGGGGGAUAACAGUUAGAAAUGACUGCUAAUACCGCAUAAGCGCACAGUACCACAUGGUACGGUGUGAAAAACUCCGGUGGUAUGAGAUGGACCCGCGUCUGAUUAGCUAGUUGGUGGGGUAACGGCCCACCAAGGCGACGAUCAGUAGCCGACCUGAGAGGGUGACCGGCCACAUUGGGACUGAGACACGGCCCAAACUCCUACGGGAGGCAGCAGUGGGGAAUAUUGCACAAUGGGGGAAACCCUGAUGCAGCAACGCCGCGUGAGUGAAGAAGUAUUUCGGUAUGUAAAGCUCUAUCAGCAGGGAAGAAAAUGACGGUACCUGACUAAGAAGCCCCGGCUAACUACGUGCCAGCAGCCGCGGUAAUACGUAGGGGGCAAGCGUUAUCCGGAUUUACUGGGUGUAAAGGGAGCGUAGACGGCAGCGCAAGUCUGAAGUGAAAGCCCGGGGCUCAACCCCGGAAUGGCUUUGGAAACUGUGCGGCUAGAGUACCGGAGGGGUAAGCGGAAUUCCUAGUGUAGCGGUGAAAUGCGUAGAUAUUAGGAGGAACACCAGUGGCGAAGGCGGCUUACUGGACGGUAACUGACGUUGAGGCUCGAAAGCGUGGGGAGCAAACAGGAUUAGAUACCCUGGUAGUC